AACGAACGCUGGCGGCGUGCCUAACACAUGCAAGUCGUGCGAGAAAGUUCCUUCGGGAGCGAGUAAAGCGGCGCACGGGUGAGUAACACGUAGGUAACCUGCCCCCCAGUCUGGAACAACUAGAGGAAACUCUAGCUAAUGCCGGAUGAGACCACGAUCCCUUCGGGGUUGCGGCCAAAGAUGGCCUCUACUUGUAAGCUAUCGCUGAGGGAUGGGCCUGCGGCCAUUAGCUUGUUGGUGAGGUAACGGCUCACCAAGGCUGUGAUGGCUAGCUGGUCUGAGAGGAUGACCAGCCACACUGGGACUGAGACACGGCCCAGACUCCUACGGGAGGCAGCAGUGGGAAUAUUGCGCAAUGGGCGAAAGCCUGACGCAGCGACGCCGCGUGGGUGAUGAAGGCC
RNAcentral lists this ribosomal RNA (401 nucleotides) under uncultured bacterium. Its description in RNAcentral is "bacterial SSU rRNA". It matches the Rfam family "Bacterial small subunit ribosomal RNA", at positions 29 to 416 of the family's 1533-position model. The record is from RNAcentral.